This 492-nucleotide ribosomal RNA is filed under the name uncultured bacterium. RNAcentral describes it as "partial 16S ribosomal RNA". It matches the Rfam family "Bacterial small subunit ribosomal RNA", at positions 29 to 507 of the family's 1533-position model. The record is from RNAcentral.
AGUGAACGCUGGCGGUAGGCCUAACACAUGCAAGUCGAACGGCAGCACAGUAAGAGCUUGCUCUUACGGGUGGCGAGUGGCGGACGGGUGAGGAAUACAUCGGAAUCUACUUUUUCGUGGGGGAUAACGUAGGGAAACUUACGCUAAUACCGCAUACGACCUACGGCUGAAAGCAGGGGAUCUUCGGACCUUGCGCGAUUCAAUGAGCCGAUGUCGGAUUAGCUAGUUGGCGGGGUAAAGGCCCACCAAGGCGACGAUCCGUAGCUGGUCUGAGAGGACGAUCAGCCACACUGGAACUGAGACACGGUCCAGACUCCUACGGGAGGCAGCAGUGGGGAAUAUUGGACAAUGGGCGCAAGCCUGAUCCAGCCAUACCGCGUGGGUGAAGAAGGCCUUCGGGUUGUAAAGCCCUUUUGUUGGGAAAGAAAAGCAGCAGGUUAAUACCCCGCUGUUCUGACGGUACCCAAAGAAUAAGCACCGGCUAACUUCGUG